RNAcentral lists this ribosomal RNA (657 nucleotides) under Staphylococcus aureus. Its description in RNAcentral is "bacterial SSU rRNA". It matches the Rfam family "Bacterial small subunit ribosomal RNA", at positions 171 to 815 of the family's 1533-position model. The record is from RNAcentral. Lineage: Bacteria; Bacillati; Bacillota; Bacilli; Caryophanales; Staphylococcaceae.
GGAUAAUAUUUUGAACCGCAUGGUUCAAAAGUGAAAGACGGUCUUGCUGUCACUUAUAGAUGGAUCCGCGCUGCAUUAGCUAGUUGGUAAGGUAACGGCUUACCAAGGCAACGAUGCAUAGCCGACCUGAGAGGGUGAUCGGCCACACUGGAACUGAGACACGGUCCAGACUCCUACGGGAGGCAGCAGUAGGGAAUCUUCCGCAAUGGGCGAAAGCCUGACGGAGCAACGCCGCGUGAGUGAUGAAGGUCUUCGGAUCGUAAAACUCUGUUAUUAGGGAAGAACAUAUGUGUAAGUAACUGUGCACAUCUUGACGGUACCUAAUCAGAAAGCCACGGCUAACUACGUGCCAGCAGCCGCGGUAAUACGUAGGUGGCAAGCGUUAUCCGGAAUUAUUGGGCGUAAAGCGCGCGUAGGCGGUUUUUUAAGUCUGAUGUGAAAGCCCACGGCUCAACCGUGGAGGGUCAUUGGAAACUGGAAAACUUGAGUGCAGAAGAGGAAAGUGGAAUUCCAUGUGUAGCGGUGAAAUGCGCAGAGAUAUGGAGGAACACCAGUGGCGAAGGCGACUUUCUGGUCUGUAACUGACGCUGAUGUGCGAAAGCGUGGGGAUCAAACAGGAUUAGAUACCCUGGUAGUCCACGCCGUAAACGAUGAGUG